This 253-nucleotide ribosomal RNA is filed under the name uncultured bacterium. Its description in RNAcentral is "partial 16S ribosomal RNA". It matches the Rfam family "Bacterial small subunit ribosomal RNA", at positions 524 to 776 of the family's 1533-position model. The record is from RNAcentral.
UACGUAGGGACCAAGCGUUGUUCGGAUUUACUGGGCGUAGAGGGCGCGUAGGCGGCGUGACAAGUCACUUGUGAAAUCUCUGAGCUUAACUCAGAACGGCCAAGUGAAACUGUUGUGCUAGAGUGCAGAAGGGGCAAUCGGAAUUCUUGGUGUAGCGGUGAAAUGCGUAGAUAUCAAGAGGAACACCUGAGGUGAAGACGGCAUCCUGGACCGGUAUUGACGCUGAGGCGCGAAAGCUAGGGUAGCAAACGGG